UCCCUGGUAGUCUAGUGGCUAAGACUCCACACUCCCAAUGCAGGAGGCCUGGGUUCAAAACCUGGUCAGGAAA
This 73-nucleotide transfer RNA is filed under the name Capra hircus (goat). It matches the Rfam family "tRNA". Rfam says of the family: Transfer RNA (tRNA) molecules are approximately 80 nucleotides in length. Their secondary structure includes four short double-helical elements and three loops (D, anti-codon, and T loops). Lineage: Eukaryota; Metazoa; Chordata; Mammalia; Artiodactyla; Bovidae. The record is from Rfam by way of RNAcentral. RNAcentral also lists the same sequence under 1 other name.